Molecule: ribosomal RNA, 497 nt
Filed under: uncultured bacterium
Lineage: Bacteria
Description: partial 16S ribosomal RNA
Rfam family: Bacterial small subunit ribosomal RNA
Source: RNAcentral
GAUGAACGCUGGCGGCGUGCCUAAUACAUGCAAGUAGAACGCUGAAGGAAGGAGCUUGCUCUUUCCGGAUGAGUUGCGAACGGGUGAGUAACGCGUAGGUAACCUGCCUGGUAGCGGGGGAUAACUAUUGGAAACGAUAGCUAAUACCGCAUAACAGUAGAUGUUGCAUGACAACUAUUUGAAAGGGGCAAUUGCUCCACUACCAGAUGGACCUGCGUUGUAUUAGCUAGUUGGUGAGGUAACGGCUCACCAAGGCGACGAUACAUAGCCGACCUGAGAGGGUGAUCGGCCACACUGGGACUGAGACACGGCCCAGACUCCUACGGGAGGCAGCAGUAGGGAAUCUUCGGCAAUGGACGGAAGUCUGACCGAGCAACGCCGCGUGAGUGAAGAAGGUUUUCGGAUCGUAAAGCUCGGUUGUAAGAGAAGAACGAGUGUGAGAGUGGAAAGUUCACACUGUGACGGAAUCUUACCAGAAAGGGACGGCUAACUACGUG